Molecule: ribosomal RNA, 500 nt
Filed under: uncultured bacterium
Lineage: Bacteria
Description: partial 16S ribosomal RNA
Rfam family: Bacterial small subunit ribosomal RNA
Source: RNAcentral
AUUGAACGCUAGCGGGAUGCCUUACACAUGCAAGUCGAACGGCAGCACGAACUUCGGUCUGGUGGCGAGUGGCGAACGGGUGAGUAAUGUAUCGGAACGUGCCCAGUAGCGGGGGAUAACUACUCGAAAGAGUAGCUAAUACCGCAUACGCCCUACGGGGGAAAGGGGGGGAUCGCAAGACCUCUCACUAUUGGAGCGGCCGAUAUCGGAUUAGCUAGUUGGUGGGGUAAAGGCCCACCAAGGCGACGAUCCGUAGCUGGUUUGAGAGGACGACCAGCCACACUGGGACUGAGACACGGCCCAGACUCCUGCGGGAGGCAGCAGUGGGGAAUUUUGGACAAUGGGGGCAACCCUGAUCCAGCCAUUCCGCGUGCAGGAUGAAGGCCCUCGGGUUGUAAACUGCUUUUGUACAGAACGAAAAGGCUCUGGUUAAUACCUGGAGCUCAUGACGGUACUGUAAGAAUAAGCACCGGCUAACUACGUGCCAGCCGCCGCCGUAA